Long non-coding RNA from Electrophorus electricus (electric eel), 171 nucleotides. RefSeq lists it as uncharacterized. The record is from RefSeq and is a predicted model, not a curated record. NCBI's taxonomy places the organism in Eukaryota, Metazoa, Chordata, Actinopteri, Gymnotiformes, Gymnotidae.
UGGAAAGAGGUCAGCAUUAACAACAUGGCUUCACACGGAAGGAGAGCAUUUCCUGUGCUGGGUCACCCACGGAAAGCCUGCAUUCUGUGCUCUGGGCCCCCAGAACAACACAUCAGCUGCAGAGUGGUGCUGGCACCACGGUAUAAAGCGCACGGCCACGUUGGAUCUGUA